This 425-nucleotide ribosomal RNA is filed under the name uncultured Methanosphaera sp. RNAcentral describes it as "bacterial SSU rRNA". It matches the Rfam family "Archaeal small subunit ribosomal RNA", at positions 322 to 747 of the family's 1478-position model. Lineage: Archaea; Methanobacteriati; Methanobacteriota; Methanobacteria; Methanobacteriales; Methanobacteriaceae. The record is from RNAcentral.
CCUACGGGGGGCAGCAGGCGCGAAACCUCCGCAAUGUACGCAAGUGCGACGGGGGGAUCCCAAGUGUUAUUCUUAACAGAAUAACUUUUCAUUAGUGUAAAAAGCUUUUAGAAUAAGAGCUGGGCAAGACCGGUGCCAGCCGCCGCGGUAACACCGGCAGCUCAAGUGGUAGCUGUUUUUAUUGGGCCUAAAGCGUUCGUAGCCGGUUUGAUAAGUCUUUGGUGAAAGCUUGUAGCUUAACUAUAAGAAUUGCUGAAGAUACUGUCAGACUUGAAGUCGGGAGAGGUUAGAGGUACUACCGGGGUAGGGGUGAAAUCCUAUAAUCCUGGGAGGACCACCUGUGGCGAAGGCGUCUAACUGGAACGAUCUUGACGGUGAGUAACGAAAGCUAGGGGCGCGAACCGGAUUAGAUACCCACGUAGUCC